Molecule: ribosomal RNA, 1491 nt
Filed under: metagenome
Description: bacterial SSU rRNA
Rfam family: Bacterial small subunit ribosomal RNA
Source: RNAcentral
AGAGUUUGAUCCUGGCUCAGAUUGAACGCUGGCGGCAUGCCUUACACAUGCAAGUCGAACGGCAGCACGGGAGCUUGCUCCUGGUGGCGAGUGGCGAACGGGUGAGUAAUAUAUCGGAACGUACCCUAGAGUGGGGGAUAACGCAGCGAAAGUUGCGCUAAUACCGCAUACGAUCUACGGAUGAAAGUGGGGGAUCGCAAGACCUCAUGCUCAUGGAGCGGCCGAUAUCUGAUUAGCUAGUUGGUAGGGUAAAAGCCUACCAAGGCUUCGAUCAGUAGCUGGUCUGAGAGGACGACCAGCCACACUGGAACUGAGACACGGUCCAGACUCCUACGGGAGGCAGCAGUGGGGAAUUUUGGACAAUGGGCGCAAGCCUGAUCCAGCAAUGCCGCGUGAGUGAAGAAGGCCUUCGGGUUGUAAAGCUCUUUUGUCAGGGAAGAAACGGUGGACUCUAAUACAGAUCACUAAUGACGGUACCUGAAGAAUAAGCACCGGCUAACUACGUGCCAGCAGCCGCGGUAAUACGUAGGGUGCAAGCGUUAAUCGGAAUUACUGGGCGUAAAGCGUGCGCAGGCGGUUGUGCAAGACAGAUGUGAAAUCCCCGGGCUCAACCUGGGAAUUGCAUUUGUGACUGCACGGCUAGAGUGUGUCAGAGGGGGGUAGAAUUACACGUGUAGCAGUGAAAUGCGUAGAGAUGUGGAGGAAUACCGAUGGCGAAGGCAGCCCCCUGGGAUAACACUGACGCUCAUGCACGAAAGCGUGGGGAGCAAACAGGAUUAGAUACCCUGGUAGUCCACGCCCUAAACGAUGUCUACUAGUUGUUGGGUCUUAAUUGACUUAGUAACGCAGCUAACGCGUGAAGUAGACCGCCUGGGGAGUACGGUCGCAAGAUUAAAACUCAAAGGAAUUGACGGGGACCCGCACAAGCGGUGGAUGAUGUGGAUUAAUUCGAUGCAACGCGAAAAACCUUACCUACCCUUGACAUGUACGGAAUCCUUGAGAGAUCAGGGAGUGCUCGAAAGAGAACCGUAACACAGGUGCUGCAUGGCUGUCGUCAGCUCGUGUCGUGAGAUGUUGGGUUAAGUCCCGCAACGAGCGCAACCCUUGUCAUUAGUUGCUACGAAAGGGCACUCUAAUGAGACUGCCGGUGACAAACCGGAGGAAGGUGGGGAUGACGUCAAGUCCUCAUGGCCCUUAUGGGUAGGGCUUCACACGUCAUACAAUGGUACAUACAGAGGGCCGCCAACCCGCGAGGGGGAGCUAAUCCCAGAAAGUGUAUCGUAGUCCGGAUUGUAGUCUGCAACUCGACUACAUGAAGUUGGAAUCGCUAGUAAUCGCGGAUCAGCAUGUCGCGGUGAAUACGUUCCCGGGUCUUGUACACACCGCCCGUCACACCAUGGGAGCGGGUUUCACCAGAAGUAGGUAGCCUAACCGUAAGGAGGGCGCUUACCACGGUGGGAUACGUGACUGGGGUGAAGUCGUAACAAGGUA